UGGGGAAUAUUGCACAAUGGAGGGAACUCUGAUGCAGCGACGCCGCGUGAACGAAGAAGGCUUUCGAGUCGUAAAGUUCUUUUAUAUGGGAAGAUAAUGACGGUACCAUAAGAAAAAGCACCGGCUAACUACGUGCCAGCAGCCGCGGUAAUACGUAGGGGGCUAGCGUUGUCCGGAAUCACUGGGCGUAAAGGGUUCGCAGGCGGAUAUGCAAGUCAGGUGUAAAAGGCAGUAGCUUAACUACUGUAAGCAUUUGAAACUGCAUAUCUUGAGAAGAGUAGAGGUAAGUGGAAUUUUUAGUGUAGCGGUGAAAUGCGUAGAUAUUAAAAAGAAUACCGGUGGCGAAGGCGACUUACUGGGCUCAUUCUGACGCUGAGGAACGAAAGCGUGGGUAGCAAACAGG
RNAcentral lists this ribosomal RNA (403 nucleotides) under Fusobacteriota bacterium. RNAcentral's name for it is "Fusobacteria bacterium partial 16S ribosomal RNA". It matches the Rfam family "Bacterial small subunit ribosomal RNA", at positions 355 to 776 of the family's 1533-position model. Lineage: Bacteria; Fusobacteriati; Fusobacteriota. The record is from RNAcentral.